Juglans microcarpa x Juglans regia is the source of this 845-nucleotide long non-coding RNA. RefSeq lists it as uncharacterized. Lineage: Eukaryota; Viridiplantae; Streptophyta; Magnoliopsida; Fagales; Juglandaceae. The transcript is spliced from 3 exons. The record is from RefSeq and is a predicted model, not a curated record.
AUUUAAUUUUUCUAAGAUCUAAGUGUUGUUUUUUUUUUUCAUGUAGAGUAAUGAACAAAUCAUCUUCAUUCGCUAUAGAUCUGAGCAAUUAUCAAUUUUUUUGAUUUUUUUUUAACAAAUCAUUUUCAUAAUUUCUGUUAAAUCAUCUUCUCGUCUCUCUCUCACUCUCACUCACUCUUUCUUUCUUUUUCUCACUUUUCUUCUUCUCCUUCUCUCAUCUCUUCCCUUUUCGUCGAAGGAGGAACUGCUUGUAUCUAUAAGAUAAUGUGGAAGAAAUUUGUGAUUUUUUUGCAUUUAUUUGAUUCUCAUAUAGUAUACGGCUUUUGUAGGUAAGGGACAAACCUUUGAUAUGGCAUGUGGGUAAUAGAUUCAAUCUUGCUUUUGUAGGUGAGAGAGAUAACUUCAAUCUGGCAGACAGACGAGCUUAGUCACUACAAACCUACGCACGUUGAAGAAGCCAGGGUCAGUAAGCUAUGGGAAGCUAAGAAUUAUUACAUACCAUAUGUUUUGUUUCUCUGUAAAGUCGUUUAAACAUAGCUUCACUUGUUCAUUUUAUUAUCUAUGGCUUGAACAUUGUUUAGAAGUCCCUUUGGAAAGCUGUACCUCAUUACUUACACCGUCUCAACAAUGCUUAAAGAAGCAUACUGGAAGGCCUCUUCCGUUAACCAAUUAAGUUUGGGUCUUGAAUGGGAGGUGAUAGAGAUAGAAAUCCGAAUGUCACAAAAGAUGUCUCUCUCGUAUCUAGGUGGAUGGCUAUUGAUCUGUACAUUCAUGAAGUUGAUAGCAUCAGAUUUUAACUAUCCAUGAAUCGAUUUAGUGAUAAAUUGUUAAAUCUUGAACGCAAG